RNAcentral lists this ribosomal RNA (520 nucleotides) under Paraliomera dispar. RNAcentral describes it as "partial 16S ribosomal RNA". It matches the Rfam family "Bacterial large subunit ribosomal RNA", at positions 1830 to 2600 of the family's 2925-position model. The record is from RNAcentral. Lineage: Eukaryota; Metazoa; Arthropoda; Malacostraca; Decapoda; Xanthidae.
UCUGUUUGAAGUUAUAAUCAGUCUGGCCUGCUCGCUGAUAAAAUUAUUGAAGAGCCGCGGUAUUUUGACCGUGCAAAGGUAGCAUAAUCAUUAGGGGUUUAAUUGGAACCUGGUAUGAAGGGUUGAACAAAGGAAAAGCUGUCUUUAUAGUAAAAGUUGAAAUUUACUUUUAAGUGAAAAGGCUUAAAUAUGUCAAAGGGACGAUAAGACCCUAUAAAGCUUUAUAAGUUAUUUAAAUUUAAUUGAUUUAAAAAAUAAAAGUUAAAUUUAAUUAUUUUAUUUUGUUGGGGUGAUGUGAGUAUAAUUAUAAUUAACUGCUUAAAAAAAAUACUUUUAUAAGAGAUUUAAAUUAAUAUGAUCCUUUUUAGAGAUUUAAAACUAAGUUACUUUAGGGAUAACAGCGUUAUUUCUUUUGAGAGCCCAUAUCGAAAAAGAAGAUUGCGACCUCGAUGUUGAAUUAAAAUGUCUAUAUAAUGCAGCCAUUAUAAGAGAAGGUCUGUUCGACCUUUAAAUUUUUACA